This 1167-nucleotide long non-coding RNA is filed under the name Heterocephalus glaber (naked mole-rat). RNAcentral describes it as "lncRNA (ENSHGLG00000033563.1)". The record is from RNAcentral. Lineage: Eukaryota; Metazoa; Chordata; Mammalia; Rodentia; Bathyergidae.
GUGAGCUGAGGGGCGCCCGGAGCCCCAGGCCGGGGGACCUUCCUGGCCGAGCCCCUCUGGAGGACGUGUGCGCAGUUCCGAGUGCGAUCACAGCCUGCUUCUGGUCCAGCCUGUGGAGGUGCGGAGAGAGCGGAGCGGAUCGUACAGUUACUCAACAAGUCUGUUUAUGCCUGUGAUGAGCCCGCGGGGAUGCCAGACCCUGUCCCCGGGAGUUUACGGUUUGUCCUGGCACAACAGUAAUAGCAGCUAACAUUUAUGAACGUGUGUUAUGUACGAGGCACUGUUCAAGUGCUGCCUAAGCCUUUUCACAGCCCCAUAAGUAUGGGUGAUAUUGGUCCCAUUUUACAACAAAGAAAACAACGCCUGAAAGUUAACAUAUCCCAUCCAAAAUUACUAAGUAGUGAAAGAGAAAGCUGCUUUUUUUAAAUCCAAGGUUUAAGCUGCUCAUCAUGAAAUAUAUUGAAGAGAAUUUUAUAGAGCCUGCAGCUUCGGGAUUUGAAGUCCUUUCUUAGGAAGAAUUAAAAUAAUUCUAAGUACGGAAUAGCUGGUCCCUUCAGGAGCACAUGAAAAUUCUCUCUUGAUAAAUCCACUUGCAGUAUUGACACAUAAAAGCAAAACUUCAGUUUCAAACGAAAGCCAUAAAGACUGUGGUCCAGUGUCCCCCGGAGAUAGUGGCUUCCUAGUGCAUUAUUUGGAACUAAAUGGCUCGUAAAGUCCCCAGUUGGUAGCUUUCACAGUAGAAUUAUUCUUCUUCUCAUCACUUUGGCUGUUAAAGAAGCAACAUGUUUUUAAAGGAAGAAGAGAAAGCAGACUCCAGGUCUGACUGCUUCAUGCCUUUUUCUACAUGUGGAGAAAGAGGAAAGAGAACAGAAAGAACUUGGGCAGCAACUGGACAGGUUUUGACCUACAAAGGCAGCUCCACGUUGAAAAUGAAGCCAGGCUAUCCUGGACAGCACAGCUGGCAUCUCUGUUUCAAACAGGACAGGGUCAGCGUCAAGGACAGUGAUGUUUUAAUUGGCCUUGUUAGGGCAGAAAUUUUUUCCUGGCAGCAACAAUCCUUUUAAUAUAUCAGGAGUUUGGGCCAUUUCUUAUAGGUCAUUCUUCCAACUCAUAUGCACACUAAAUGUUACCAUGUUGAAAUUUUUCUUAAUUUUUCAAUACAAAAAU